Molecule: ribosomal RNA, 256 nt
Filed under: uncultured archaeon
Lineage: Archaea
Description: partial 16S ribosomal RNA
Rfam family: Bacterial small subunit ribosomal RNA
Source: RNAcentral
UAAUACGUAGGGUGCAAGCGUUGUCCGGAAUUAUUGGGCGUAAAGAGCUCGUAGGCGGUUUGUCGCGUCUGCUGUGAAAACCCGAGGCUCAACCUCGGGCCUGCAGUGGGUACGGGCAGACUAGAGUGCGGUAGGGGAGAUUGGAAUUCCUGGUGUAGCGGUGGAAUGCGCAGAUAUCAGGAGGAACACCGAUGGCGAAGGCAGAUCUCUGGGCCGUAACUGACGCUGAGGAGCGAAAGCGUGGGGAGCGAACAGG